This 490-nucleotide ribosomal RNA is filed under the name uncultured bacterium. Its description in RNAcentral is "bacterial SSU rRNA". It matches the Rfam family "Bacterial small subunit ribosomal RNA", at positions 28 to 514 of the family's 1533-position model. The record is from RNAcentral.
GAUGAACGCUAGCGGCAGGCUUAACACAUGCAAGUCGAGGGGUAGGUUACUUCGGUAAUUGAGACCGGCGCACGGGUGCGUAACGCGUAUACAAUCUACCUUUUACAGAGGGAUAGCCCAGAGAAAUUUGGAUUAAUACCUCAUAGUAUUUUUGAAUCGCAUGAUUUGAUUAUUAAAGUUCCAACGGUAAAAGAUGAGUAUGCGUCCCAUUAGCUAGAUGGUAAGGUAACGGCUUACCAUGGCUACGAUGGGUAGGGGUCCUGAGAGGGAGAUCCCCCCANACUGGUACUGAGACACGGACCAGACUCCUACGGGAGGCAGCAGUGAGGAAUAUUGGACAAUGGGGCGCAAGCCUGAUCCAGCCAUGCCCGCGUGCAGGAAGAAGGUCCUAUGGAUUGUAAACUGCUUUUUAUACAGGAAGAAACACUCCCUCGUGAGGGAACUUGACGGUACUGUAUGAAUAAGGACCGGCUAAACUCCGUGCCAGCAG